This 287-nucleotide ribosomal RNA is filed under the name uncultured bacterium. Its description in RNAcentral is "partial 16S ribosomal RNA". It matches the Rfam family "Bacterial small subunit ribosomal RNA", at positions 773 to 1060 of the family's 1533-position model. The record is from RNAcentral.
GUGGAUUAGAUACCCUGGUAGUCCACGCCGUAAACGUUGGGCGCUAGGUGUGGGGGACUUUCCACGUCCUCUGUGCCGCAGCUAACGCAUUAAGCGCCCCGCCUGGGGAGUACGGCCGCAAGGCUAAAACUCAAAGGAAUUGACGGGGGCCCGCACAAGCGGCGGAGCAUGUGGCUUAAUUCGACGCAACGCGAAGAACCUUACCAAGGCUUGACAUACAGGGAAAUCCGGCAGAGAUGUCGGGUCCGCAAGGGUCCUGUACAGGUGGUGCAUGGCCGUCGACAACU